GAUGAACGCUGGCGGCGUGCCUAGUACAUGCAAGUCGAGCGAACAGACGAGGAGCUUGCUCCUCUGACGUUAGCGGCGGACGGGUGAGUAACACGUGGAUAACCUACCUAUAAGACUGGGAUAACUUCGGGAAACCGGAGCUAAUACCGGAUAAUAUAUUGAACCGCAUGGUUCAAUAGUGAAAGACGGUUUUGCUGUCACUUAUAGAUGGAUCCGCGCCGCAUUAGCUAGUUGGUAAGGUAACGGCUUACCAAGGCAACGAUGCGUAGCCGACCUGAGAGGGUGAUCGGCCACACUGGAACUGAGACACGGUCCAGACUCCUACGGGAGGCAGCAGUAGGGAAUCUUCCGCAAUGGGCGAAAGCCUGACGGAGCAACGCCGCGUGAGUGAUGAAGGUCUUCGGAUCGUAAAACUCUGUUAUUAGGGAAGAACAAAUGUGUAAGUAACUAUGCACGUCUUGACGGUACCUAAUCAGAAAGCCACGGCUAACUACGU
This 496-nucleotide ribosomal RNA is filed under the name uncultured bacterium. RNAcentral's name for it is "partial 16S ribosomal RNA". It matches the Rfam family "Bacterial small subunit ribosomal RNA", at positions 28 to 506 of the family's 1533-position model. The record is from RNAcentral.